This 560-nucleotide long non-coding RNA is filed under the name Homo sapiens (human). RNAcentral's name for it is "non-protein coding lnc-ZNF816-2:6". The record is from RNAcentral. Lineage: Eukaryota; Metazoa; Chordata; Mammalia; Primates; Hominidae.
AGCGUAAACCGGGAAGCGGAUCGCGUGGAGUGAAAGUCACCGCAGCGGCUGGAGUGCAAUGGCGAGAUCUCAGCUCACUGCAACUGCUGUCUCCCGGGUUCAAGCAAUUGUCCUGCCUCAGCCUCCUGAAUAGCUGGGAUUACAGGUGCCCACCACCACUACCAGGAGAUGGACAAACCAUGUGGGUGCCCUCCAGGUGUGUGCGACCAUGAAAUGGGAGACUAGCAGGACCCACGUUGGCCAACCGUGGACCUGGUCCCUCCAGUAGGAGUCGUGAGCCAGCUGAAUUUGAAUGCAAAGAUGGAGCAAGGGCCGACUGGAGUCACACUGACAUCCACCCCCAUAACAUGGGGACAGAUCAAGAAAACAAAGCAGGAAGCUGAGAAAAUGCUGGAGCAUCCAUGUGCUUGGCCAUGUUAGCAGUAGUGUCCUGUGAGGUAUGUUUCCCCUGUGUAGAGGCCAAAACAUACUGGGCAUAUGUUCCUAAUCACCCUGUAGUGUGACCUGUACUCUGGAGUGACAUUCCUCCUGAGGUAUAUCAUGAUCAGGGAGCGUGGGCU